CACGAUCUAACCUUAUCCGGCGCUCCUUAAUGUCAAUUGAUGCCAAUGCAAGUAUGGCGGACUUCGGCGACACGAACUCGCACGAGAUGACAGAGAAUCAUGUCGGCAAGCGGAGCAAUAAUCAGUGGGUGCGACUGAACGUGGGCGGGACGUAUUUUCUAACGGCAAAGACCACCCUGGCGCGAGAUCCGAACUCGUUUCUAUACCGAUUGUGCCAGGAAGACUCAGACCUCAUUUCAGACAGGGACGAGACGGGAGCGUACCUGAUAGAUCGCGACCCAACGUACUUCAGCCCAGUCCUGAAUUACCUCCGUCAUGGUAAGCUAGUUAUCAACAAGGACCUUACAGAAGAAGGGGUGCUAGAGGAGGCAGAAUUUUACAAUAUCACCGAGCUCAUUCGACUAGUCAAAGAAAGAAUCAUUUUGAGGGAUACGCGGCCACAAAGGGAUUCCAAGAAGCACGUCUACAGAGUUCUCCAAUGUCACGAGGACGAGCUGACACAAAUGGUGUCCACAAUGUCGGAUGGCUGGAGAUUCGAACAGCUAAUCAAUAUAGGUUCUCAAUAUAACUAUGGUAAUGACGAUCAUGCUGAGUUUCUAUGUGUGGUAAGCCGAGAAUAUGGACCUAGUCAGCUCAGCAGUAAAGAAGAGGAAUCCACGGAUCGCGUCAAGGUUUUGCAGCAGAAGGGUUCACGCAUGUAAUGUCUAGAUCCGUCCUUGUUUUCCCUUGCCUCCUUUAGUUUGAUCAGCUGCGCUGCGACAAGAUGAAGACUGUUUUCGUUUUUACAUUUAAAGUAUUAAAUUGUAAUACCUGUAUUCUUCUCUUUUUCCGAUUUAUAUUCUCUCUGUCUCUACUCCUAGAUAAUAUUACUCUACAGGGACAUUACAGUGCAAAGGAUAAAGAAAAAAGAAAUUUUAUAGAAAUGUAUUUAUUACAUAGCAAAGAUUGUAUAUGAAGCUUUAAAAACCGAAAGUAACAAAGUUAUUAUUAAUUUAUUCCUUUUUAUUGACAGUGCCCAAAAGACGAAAAGAAAAAAAAAGCGUCGAUCUCACGAAUGGGAAUAGUUUAAUAAUUUCAUACAGUUUAUACAGAUAAUCGCUACGACAAACACAAAGUAAAGAAACCUUCCUUUUUCUAUAAGCACAUCUAUCUGCUUUAAAAGCAGCUUUAUUGAAUACUUUGGACGAAUGGCACAUUUGUGGAGGCAAUCGAUUUCAUACAAAUUUUUAUGAUAUAACGAUAGUCUUUAUCUCCAAUAGUGAUACGAGGUAGAGAUUGCCUUUUUGUACAAUAAUUGUACAAAAGAGUUCUUUUUCCCAUCCGUAUCCUUAUCGUAAGAUCGUCUAAAUUACUUACCUUCGCACUGCCGCUAUAAAACAUAAAAAGAACGUUUGUAUAUUUAACAUGACAAUUUUCGAAACCCAAGAGAUGCAUACUAAUAAAAAUUAUGAAUAUGUAAA
This 1460-nucleotide unclassified non-coding RNA is filed under the name Pogonomyrmex barbatus (red harvester ant). RNAcentral describes it as "bTB/POZ domain-containing protein KCTD5, transcript variant X2". The record is from RNAcentral. Lineage: Eukaryota; Metazoa; Arthropoda; Insecta; Hymenoptera; Formicidae.